RNAcentral lists this long non-coding RNA (252 nucleotides) under Elaeis guineensis (African oil palm). RNAcentral's name for it is "long non-coding RNA (EGUI_LNC034256)". The record is from RNAcentral. Lineage: Eukaryota; Viridiplantae; Streptophyta; Magnoliopsida; Arecales; Arecaceae.
GGGACAGUAUAAUGGCUAAUUUUCUGCAUCACUUUCAAUGGCUAUUUCUCCACUCCAAUAACUAGUUCAAGGCUUCCAAUAGUUAGAACUCACUCUUCAACCAUCCUCAAGAGUAUUUAAGACUAGAGAAACAAUUUAAAAGUAAUAUUAAGGGAGAUUAAGAGAGAUGUCAUUUUCAGAUUUAGGGAAUUUUAUUACACAUCAAAAAGAGAGAAAAAGAAAAGAUUCAAGCUUUGAAUUCAGAGGGCAUUC